GGCGGCGCGCAUAACACAUGCAAGUCGAGCGAGGGCUUACCUCUCGCAAGAGAGAUAAGUUCCUAGCGGCGAACGGGUGAGUAACACGUGGGCAACCUUUCCUAUCGCGGGGGAUAACAGCGGGAAACCGCUGCUAAUACCGCAUGUCGUCACUGGUCGCAUGGCUGGUGAAGAAAGCAGCAAUGCACGAUGGGGUGGGCCCGCGGCCUAUCAGCUAGUCGGUGGGGUAACGGCCUACCGAGGCGAUGACGGGUAGCUGGUCUGAGAGGACGGCCAGCCACACGGGGACUGAGACACGGCCCCGACUCCUACGGGAGGCAGCAGUGAGGAAUCUUCCGCAAUGGGCGAAAGCCUGACGGAGCGACGCCGCGUGUGCGAUGAAGUCCUUCGGGAUGUAAAGCACUGUCGGAGGGGAAGACAAAAAAGACGGUACCCUCCAAGAAAGCCCCGGCUAACUACGUGCCAGCAGCCGCGGUAAUACGUAGGGGGCAAGCGUUAUCCAGAUUUACUGGGCGUAAAGCGCGUGU
Molecule: ribosomal RNA, 527 nt
Filed under: uncultured bacterium
Lineage: Bacteria
Description: bacterial SSU rRNA
Rfam family: Bacterial small subunit ribosomal RNA
Source: RNAcentral